AAUCAAACAAGGAUUCAGGGGAGAAAAAAAAUGUUUAAAGAUAGCAAAUAAAAAAUAUUCACCUAAAAACCAAUCUAAGGAUUUAUAGGCGGAUUUUAAAGUAGAAGAUUUAAAGCCUCAGACAAGGAUAAAGGUUGUCACUGACUCAAUGGAAAAGGACUCAGCACCGGAAACCCAAAUAAGGACACACAAUGGCGUCACUGAGGAACUGGAUUCCUGCUUCCCAGAAUAAAGAAUUGUUGAUCUAUUUCAAGAAUAGGUUGAUAUUUUUAAAUUUAACAGUCUGGUUUUAUUUCAGCAACGUGUUUCCUGGCCAAUAUUCUGUCGCAAAUAAUUGUCGCAUUUAAAGCAAACAGUGAACGUAAAUCAGGCGUUAGCAUGCUAGCUGUGAAGUGUGUGUCACGUACUUACUCUGUCAUUCUGAGGCACUGUAAACGUUUUAUAGUCUUUAACUGAUUUCAGUCGGAUCGUGUCUGCAUCUUCCUCUCCAGUGGCGUCCAUCCUUUAAUCGAAGGAGUAGAACACGGCCUUCGCUCCUUCAGAGCAUCAGCAAUGGUGACGUUGGACGGCGUGGCGUAGAUGUCAUCUCUUGAUGGAGCGGUGAUGACGAUGACAGGUCGACGCUCAGAAUUCUGGACCGCCUCCAUCUCAUUGUUGGGCUGUGAUGAUGGAGGACUCUCCGACACUGUGGAACCAGAAAACAUGUUUGGAAAGAGUGAGCAUCCGUGAAGGCCUCAGAGAUAUCUUCAUUGCGACCUUGAAGCAGACUCGCCUGCAACAACCUGUGGGCGUGAUUUUCACACCAUUGUCCAGUGUAUCACCUUCUGAAUUGGCAAAUGCAGGGUUCUUGUACCAAGCCCAUCUUCCUGAGCCUCGGAGUUCAGACUUUGAACGCAUUAUGUUCAUCUGUCUGUCCCCUUCGUUGUACAAAGUAAAACUUCCAC
This is a non-coding RNA of Oryzias latipes (Japanese medaka), 944 nucleotides long. The record is from RefSeq and is a predicted model, not a curated record. NCBI's taxonomy places the organism in Eukaryota, Metazoa, Chordata, Actinopteri, Beloniformes, Adrianichthyidae.